UGACAAGGAUGUGUAGCGAUUUAUUGUGUAUUAAUACUAUGUUUGUUACAACACUGUAUUCUUCCUACUUUUUCAUGACAAACGAAGGUUUAAAGUUCCGACACUUACUGACAUGACAAUAUGAAUGAUAUCGCUUGUCGUUUUCGUCUGUACGGAAUAUAAUUAAGCGUAUUUAUUGCAACUGUGAAAGUACUAAACUUGAGCGCAUUUAUAACAACUUCAUGUAAGAUUUUUACCUAAGUUUCACUAAGAGCCGCAUUAAGGAGGGCAGCUCUAAAUUCUGCAUGUCUGGACUUGGAGACCUCGGGAUCCCGGUGUCAUAUUUGGAUGUGUGGAUUUGGAACGGUUUCCUUUUGCAAGCUUUCAAAUAUUGGUUGUAAUACAGAAUAUCCACGCAAAAAAUACAUUUGCUGUUUUUCUUUGCUCUUAGUCUUGCUGUUGGGGUAGCAGGUGGUUAGGUUAGCCACCUGUGGACUUGAAGGACACAGGUUCAAGUCCCACCUGCUGUUGUAGCACAUGAUGCAUGUAUACUGAUAAUAGUGAAACUUUAUGUAGUAGAUCAAGAGAAAGGUAUUUCUGAAAGACAUGUUCUGAGAUUUUUCAUUAAUGUUCAGAGGGAUUCAGCAGUUCUGAGUGAAAGGGAGCUCACUCCUUCAGCAAAGUACUUAUCCUUAAUUGCCCCCAGAAAUUACAGCACUGUAUAAAUGGGUAAAGUAUUGUCAGUUUACCAGUGAUAGUUGAGGGAAGUGUCAGUGUAAUAAAUUAUAUUGCAAGUGGCUUUGGACAAAGACAUCUCCAUAAACUAAUACAUGUACAUGGAUACCAUAACAUUACUGUAGUGCCUGCUAAUUUUGAACUGUUUCAGCAGGAGAGCCACUGGUCUCCAUUCAUUCCUUGUAGCCAUGAUUGAAGAUGGAGAUGGAUGCAUCUCUCCUAUCCCUCCAAGGAAGAGGACGGACAGCAUGAGGUUGCCUCCAAAUUUAGUAAAAUGCAGUACUAUUUGUACAGUGUCCACAGGAAUAUCACCGGCAGUAACUAACCACGAUGAAAGACCAACGGUCCAGAGCCAAACGCAUCAUGGGAAGAAACUAAACACGCCAAACACUUGGAGUAACUGAUCGCUGUGUGGGACGUUUUCAUUGGAGUGCCGGUAACGCACAUACUGAUGUACUAAAGCUGGUGCUCCAGUGUGGGUUCAAGGACACUGGGAUCAUGAACCCCUUGGCGGCUUUGCAAUCUAGAAGGAAAGGUGAGGACCUGGAGGCACAGUGCUGGACUGAAUACCUAUCAGGUGCUACUGGUCAGGACCUGUAGGACCUCAAGUCAUAGUUCUGGGGAGGGAAAGCUAUUCUGGGGCUGCUGGCUUCUUUCAUGACUUCUAUACUAUUUCUGUAAAUGUACUGCCUAUAUAAAAUGUGACUUUCUUUUGAAGUUAAAGGUUUCCACAUACUGUUUUGAUUAAAUACUUAUUUACUAUUCUCCAACUGUGUAAUAUAAUUGUACAUAUUUUUAGCUGUAUUUUCCCCACUUGUUUUAUAUUGUAAGUAU
Molecule: long non-coding RNA, 1548 nt
Organism: Scleropages formosus (Asian bonytongue)
Lineage: Eukaryota; Metazoa; Chordata; Actinopteri; Osteoglossiformes; Osteoglossidae
Source: Ensembl